Molecule: transfer RNA, 72 nt
Filed under: Vitiosangium sp. GDMCC 1.1324
Lineage: Bacteria; Pseudomonadati; Myxococcota; Myxococcia; Myxococcales; Archangiaceae
Description: tRNA-Lys
Rfam family: tRNA
About the family: Transfer RNA (tRNA) molecules are approximately 80 nucleotides in length. Their secondary structure includes four short double-helical elements and three loops (D, anti-codon, and T loops).
Source: RNAcentral
CGGGCUAGCUCAGCUGGUAGAGCACCGGCCUUUUAAGCCGAGGGUCGGGGGUUCGAUUCCCCCGCGACUCAA